AGGAAACGAAAAUGCAAAAUGGGUCUUCAUCCAACCAAGGAAACCACCAUGAAAAUGCAAAGAACCACCUCCAAGCUCAAGCUUUCAACAUUCAAAUGGAGAAUACAAGAAGGAGAGUGACGGUUCUCCCUCCCUUCUAGCAAAAACAAACAAGAUUGCAAGCUAAAGAUGAAGAAAAAUGUGUUCUUGGUUCAUUNAAGCUCAAAAACGAAAGGCACCCAUCAUGGUCCAAGAGAGAGUUCAUACAAGCCAAACUUGAAAAAUGAGAAGUGUAGUAUGAAGGAAGCUAGAGAGUGUCUCGGCCUCCACUCAAAAUGCCGUCCCCCAAACAUUAAAUGGUGGGGUCCACUCCUAAAAUAAAACCCUAGCCUAAGGCCAAGUGUCCCACAAUUGGGCUUUUACAAAAAUUGCCACAAAAGGGCCCAAAAACACCUAAUCUAAUUAAGGUUUCAAAAAAAACGAAAUUACACUUAAUUAAAAAUGGAAAUGGCUAAAUGUUGAGUCUUGAAUGAUUAUGCCACNAUCCCUAAUGCUCCAAUUGAUGUUUUCCAAAAUUUCCCUGCAACCAAAAUACACUCAAUUAGCUCAGAAAACCCAAAUUAGCACAAUUACAAAUUUCCGACCAAAUUAAGCAGAAUUCGGAAAACGGGGAAAUAACAGACAAUUAAACAC
This 672-nucleotide long non-coding RNA is filed under the name Vigna radiata. RNAcentral describes it as "long non-coding RNA (VRAD_LNC006736)". Lineage: Eukaryota; Viridiplantae; Streptophyta; Magnoliopsida; Fabales; Fabaceae. The record is from RNAcentral.